GACGAACGCUGGCGGCGUGCCUAACACAUGCAAGUCGAACGGAACUGCUUCGAAGGAUCUCUUCGGAAUGACAUUGAUUCAGUUUAGUGGCGGACGGGUGAGUAACGCGUGAGUAACCUGCCUUCAAGAGGGGGAUAACAUUCUGAAAAGAAUGCUAAUACCGCAUGACAUAUGAUUGUCGCAUGGCAGAUAUAUCAAAGAUUUAUCGCUUGAAGAUGGACUCGCGUCCGAUUAGUUAGUUGGUGAGGUAACGGCCCACCAAGACCGCGAUCGGUAGCCGGACUGAGAGGUUGAACGGCCACAUUGGGACUGAGACACGGCCCAGACUCCUACGGGAGGCAGCAGUGGGGGAUAUUGCGCAAUGGGGGCAACCCGUGACGCAGCAACGCCGCGUGAAGGAUGAAGGUUUUCGGAUUGUAAACUUCUUUUAUUAAGGACGAAUAAUGACGGUACUUAAUGAAUAAGCUCGGCUAACUACGUGCCAGCAGCCG
RNAcentral lists this ribosomal RNA (491 nucleotides) under uncultured bacterium. RNAcentral's name for it is "bacterial SSU rRNA". It matches the Rfam family "Bacterial small subunit ribosomal RNA", at positions 28 to 517 of the family's 1533-position model. The record is from RNAcentral.